Pristis pectinata (smalltooth sawfish) is the source of this 1495-nucleotide long non-coding RNA. RefSeq lists it as uncharacterized. The record is from RefSeq and is a predicted model, not a curated record. NCBI's taxonomy places the organism in Eukaryota, Metazoa, Chordata, Chondrichthyes, Rhinopristiformes, Pristidae. The transcript is spliced from 3 exons.
CAGGAGGGAAAUGACAAGUACAGUCUGCUAGACCAUUUCUAGCUAUCUGGGACAAUCAAGGAUUCAAUGGUCACAGUCCAUUUAGUUCUUUGGAAAACAGCUUUCUGAUAAGAUGGUGUCUGGGAAGAUCUCCAACCCUCAGUAAUUACAGACCCAGCAUUUUCUUUUUCUACUUCAGCUGCACUUAAAGUGGAAAAUCAUCUGGCUUAGAUAGGAUGCAUCUGACGUUGUUGAGGGAAGCCAGGGAGGAAAUUGAAGAAACCCUGGCCAUAAUCUUCCAAACAUCUAUAGAUUCCAGAGUGGUCCCUGAGGACUGAAACACUGCAAAUGUUCAAAUGUUACACCCUUGUUCACAAAAGGGGCAUUGGGACAUAUCUAGUACUUACAGACCAGUUGGUUUAACCUCAUGGUAGGGCAAGCUGCAGGAACAACAAUCAGAGGAGAAUUAGUGGUCACUUUGCACAAUUGUUGAUUGAUAAGGACAAACGAGCAAUGGAUUUUCUGAAAGCAAAUCGUGUCCAGCUAACUUUAUAAAGUUUUUUUGAUGAGGUAGCAGAGAGGGUCAAGGGGAUAACAGGGUUGAUACGAUACAGAUGAGCUUCCGAAAUACAUUUGAUAAGGUGCCACAUAAUAGAUUUGUCACCAUGACUGAAGGCCAUGGAAUAAGAGCGGCUCAACACUAUGGAUAGACAAUUGGCUAAAUUUAAAGUUGUGGUAAAAGAUUGUCUCUUGGAUUAGAGGGAAGUGAACAGUGGAAUUCCCCUGGUGUUGCUACUUAGUUGGAACUGGGUGCGCAGGUCACAAAAUGCAGAGAACACAAAACCCGGAGACUGGUUGAACUUCAAGGAGAGAGAGUGAGAGAGUCAGGCUGGGGGAAAGGGUGGAUAGGUGGUAUUUGAAAUUUAAUGCUGAGAAAGGUGAAAUGUUAGGGUUAGUAAUCUCGAGGCAGAUUAGGAUCAUAGAGUAAUAGUGUCGUAAGAUAAGAUUUCUUUAUUAGUCAUGUGUACAUCAAAACACACAGUGAAAUGCAUCUUUUGCGUAGAAUGUUCUCGGGGCAGCCCACAAGUGUCGCCAUGCUUCCGGCGCCAACAUAGCAUGCCCACAACUUCCUAACCCGUAUGUCUUUGGAAUGUGGGAGGAAACCAGAGCACCUGGAGGAAACCCACACAGACACAGGGAGAACGUAAUCCUUACAGACAGGGGUCGGAAUUGAACCUGGAUCGCUGGCACUGUAGUAGCGUUACGCUAACCACUACACUACUGUGCCUGCCUGUCAUACAGCACAGAAAUAGGCCCUUUGACCCACCAUAUCCAUCUUGACCAUUGUACUUAUCUAUACUAAUCUAAUUUACCUGCAUUCAACUGCAGCAUUCAAGGGAGAGCUGUAUAAGUAUCUAAGAGGAAAGAAAGUUGCAUGGCUAUGGAAUGGGGGAGGGGUGUAUUGAGACUAACUCAAUUGUUUUUGCUUCUUUCUGUGCUAUCACCAUUCUGUGGU